This 402-nucleotide ribosomal RNA is filed under the name uncultured bacterium. RNAcentral describes it as "bacterial SSU rRNA". It matches the Rfam family "Bacterial small subunit ribosomal RNA", at positions 355 to 774 of the family's 1533-position model. The record is from RNAcentral.
UGGGGAAUAUUGGACAAUGGGCGCAAGCCUGAUCCAGCCAUGCCGCGUGAGUGAUGAAGGCCUUAGGGUUGUAAAGCUCUUUCGCGCGCGACGAUAAUGACGGUAGCGCGAGAAGAAGCCCCGGCUAACUUCGUGCCAGCAGCCGCGGUAAUACGAAGGGGGCUGGCGUUGUUCGGAAUCACUGGGCGUAAAGCGCAUGCAGGCGGAUCGUUAAGUCGGGGGUGAAAUCCCGAGGCUCAACCUCGGAACUGCCUUCGAUACUGGCGAUCUUGAGUACGGGAGAGGUGAGUGGAACGGCGCGUGUAGAGGUGAAAUUCGUAGAUAUUCGCAAUAACACCAGUGGCGAAGGCGGCUCACUGGCCCGGUACUGACGCUCAGGUGCGAAAGCGUGGGGAGCAAACA